This is a small nuclear RNA of 180 nucleotides. Its record names the gene U2. It matches the Rfam family "U2 spliceosomal RNA". Rfam says of the family: U2 is a small nuclear RNA (snRNA) component of the spliceosome (involved in pre-mRNA splicing). The record is from Ensembl.
CUUGCUAGGCUGCUACCACCAACUAUACCAACUAUAUCUUAUCAGUUUAAUAUCUGAUACGUCCCCCAGCGGGGGACUACAUAUUAAGCGGAUUUUUAGAACAGGGAGUCGGCAAAGGAGCUUGCUCCAUCCGCUCCAGGCAUCCCAGUAUUGCAGUGCCUCUGGGGCAGUGGUGGCCUA